This 107-nucleotide small RNA is filed under the name Marmota monax (woodchuck). Lineage: Eukaryota; Metazoa; Chordata; Mammalia; Rodentia; Sciuridae. The record is from RNAcentral.
GCUCAGAGUGGUGGUGCACACUUGUAAUCCCAAAGACUUGGGAGGCUGAGGCAGGAGGAUCACAAGAUUGAGGGCAGCCUCAAAAAUUUAGCAAGACCCUGUCUCAA